GAGAUGUUGGGUUAAGUCCCGUAACGAGCGCAACCCUUGUCCUUAGUUACCAGCACGUUAUGGUGGGCACUCUAAGGAGGACUGCCGGUGGACAAACCGGAGGAAGGUGGGGAGUGACGUCAAGUCAUCAUGGCCCUUACGGCCUGGGCUACACACGUGCUACAAUGGUCGGUACAAAGGGUUGCCAAGCCGCGAGGUGGAGCUAAUCCCAUAAAACCGAUCGUAGUCCGGAUCGCAGUCUGCAACUCGACUGCGUGAAGUCGGAAUCGCUAGUAAUCGUGAAUCAGAAUGUCACGGUGAAUACGUUCCCGGGCCUU
RNAcentral lists this ribosomal RNA (317 nucleotides) under uncultured Pseudomonas sp. RNAcentral describes it as "bacterial SSU rRNA". It matches the Rfam family "Bacterial small subunit ribosomal RNA", at positions 1069 to 1382 of the family's 1533-position model. The record is from RNAcentral. Lineage: Bacteria; Pseudomonadati; Pseudomonadota; Gammaproteobacteria; Pseudomonadales; Pseudomonadaceae.